Long non-coding RNA from Gopherus agassizii (Agassiz's desert tortoise), 1691 nucleotides. NCBI's taxonomy places the organism in Eukaryota, Metazoa, Chordata, Testudines, Testudinidae. The record is from Ensembl.
CACUGGACAGUCUGCUCCCAAUCUGCUCUAGCACAAGCCACUGAUCUUGUUUGCUCCCUUUGUCAUGUGGUGGGUAGAAUUCCCCAGGAUCACUGGUUUCAGUUGGAUUCUUUACCCUGGGGAAUGCUGUCAGCUGCAGAGGAGGAGGUUAGACAGACUUGCUGCAGCAUUCAGUCUCUGUGGGAGAGCCUGCCUGACUGCAUCUGUGGAUGACCUGGGCUCUAUCUGCAGGCUGCAGAUGGAAUCUAGAGUUUAUCCCUAGGAUGGCAGUAUUAGGACUGGGUAUCCCAGGUCCCAUUCUGGUUAUCUUCACCUGCAGACAUACUCCUUUUUCUUGUGGAACAUGCACAGCCUACUGUCUGCUAGCCAGAGAUAGGAUACAAGCUACUCAGUUACUAGUUAUGCAGAAAUGGGGCUUGCACUGCAGAAGUGGCUCAAUCCAGUGCCAGCAGCUCCAACCAAUGGGGUGGAAGGGCAGCUGAGCAUCUUGUAUUCCACUAGAUUGAAUCUGGGUAACAGCAGUUCUAGUCUAGUGUGUUGCCUAUGAAAUAGAACAUUGUUACUCUCAACCUUGCAGGUGCCUUUGCUGGAGAACCUCCCCAACCCUGUAUGUGGGGAAGAUGCUAGGUCAUAAUGUUCCCAGCAUUGGGACAAGCAGUAGGAUGGGUUUGUUCCCACCUUCAAAGGAGGGGAAGAUGGGAUUAAAUCAAGGGAAAAGUUGCUUUUUGUGGCUGCUUCUGUUCCAAUAGCUUGGGAUGAGGGAACAUCUCCUAGUGACUCUUAUGAUCAUUUUAAAGGCAAUUUUUUUUAAAAGCGAUUUUUGCCUCUGUGCCCACCUACAGCCCUGCUGUGAUCAGGCUUGUCCAUUGGCUGAGAGGAAUGUACAAGGAAGAGAUGGAGAAGUCCUGUUAGAUCAUCCAUUUGACCACCUGGUCUGUGUAGUGGUAUCAGGGUACAUCCUAAAGGGAGGGUAGAGACAGUGCAGUAGAACAGGGGCUUGGGUGGGGUGCAGCAGCAAAAAAUUGCAUUUCCUCUGGUAUAAUGCCUUGUUGGUCACCACUUCUUGUGCUCUUUGUGUGAACCCUGUGGCCCUAUCCAGGGAGAGGAAUGAACUGACUCUUACCUGAAUGAACUAACUUGAACCCUGAUAGCUGGGAUUUCCCUUUUGGGAGCACCCAACUCAUGAUGCCAGGGCUGGCUCUUCUGGUUAUGUUUACUUAAUGGCCACGGAGCACCCUGCUACUUGUUGUUAAGAUAGAUACAUUUGGUUUGUGGUCAACAUUGUCCCUUCCUCUCCAUGUGAGUUGACCUGCAGGGAGAAGCUGGGAUGUUUUGUUCUUUGUUUCUCCUUCUUAUUCUGGAGUGUUCCCUUUUUCCUACCUGACGCCCUCAAUGGCCUAGUCUGUCCUUUAGAACCCACCCCCAGGGUGAAGCCCUGUCCCAUACUAUGUAUAUACUCCCUGUUGUGUGGGAAUUGCUGAUGUUCUGUCAGUGUGUCUGUGUCUGCAGUAGAACAGGUUCUGCUCUCCCCUUCUUACAGGCAGACAUACCCUGCCACCGUGUUGUAUUGUUCUCUCGAGUCACUGGACUUACUUUUUUUGGGGGGGAAAGGGGUAGGGGGGGAGAAUAAGUAAUCGGGAGGGAAAACCUUGUGAAAUAAAAUAGUUCACUUUCCACUGCCUUCCCUAUGA